GUUGUUUUUUAUUUUUUUGUUUUUUGUUUUUGUAGUUGAUGAGAAUAGAAAGUCCAAAUCCACACCGGUCAUCCUAGCCGAGAUAGCGCAGGAAGAAGGCAUGCUGGCUUUGUACAGAGGCUGGUUCCCAGUCAUCUCCAGCCUCUGCUUCUCCAACUUUGUCUACUUCUACACCUUCAUCACAUUGAAGAGGCUGACGGUCACAGGGCCACAGCAGUCGAGACUGGGCAAAGACCUGCUCAUGGGCAUCAUAUCAGGGGCGGUGAAUGUGAUACUAACAACGC
Hippocampus comes (tiger tail seahorse) is the source of this 284-nucleotide long non-coding RNA. RefSeq lists it as uncharacterized. Lineage: Eukaryota; Metazoa; Chordata; Actinopteri; Syngnathiformes; Syngnathidae. The record is from RefSeq and is a predicted model, not a curated record. The transcript has 3 exons.